Molecule: long non-coding RNA, 354 nt
Organism: Cottoperca gobio
Lineage: Eukaryota; Metazoa; Chordata; Actinopteri; Perciformes; Bovichtidae
Exons: 4
Source: RefSeq, a predicted model, not a curated record
UUCUGACACGUGAAGGUAUUUUACGCAGUAACAAACAUUUGACUGAGAGGCAAACUUUAAGGGGCAGUUCAGCACCAUAUGAGGUGGCUGUGAAUCCCCUUGUAGGUGAGAAUAGAGUUUCUCUGAAUUUGGCCCACACAGCUGCAGAAAGCUUUUCCUGUUGAUCUUAACGAGUCGCCUCCACUCACUUUGGAUCUUCUCAUCGACCGACGUACAGCUGUGCAUUUGAAGAUGAUGCGAUUUCUGUUCCUGUGUCUGCUGCUGCUGCUGCCAUCUGCUUCUGCUGUUUCAGAAGAGACUGAAGGAUCCGCUACUGGAGGUCCAGUUGAUGAUGAUGAUGAUGAGGAUUAACAG